AACACGGAAGACAGUGAGCCCCAAACCUCCUCACAUUAUCGUCCUCUGACAGUGACAUUCCUCUCUGAAAAGCCUUUUCCACCGGGCUGACACUGUGUCCAAAUGUCCGCCUUUGCCGAAGAGGAUGUGGUGAAGCGAUGGGAAAGAUUUGUCUCUGGCUCUGGAGCUAUAAAAGUGCAGCUGGAAAUUGGAAAGAGGGGCGGGUCAGCGUGGGUUGGCAUGCAGAGCCUUGAUAGUGAGCAGGCCAGUCUGAGGCAGCAGGUGGUGGAGGAGGAUACAGAGGAGUGGCAGAGGAGCCUCAACUUCUCCGGCCUGGAGAGAGUCGGCGGGGUGGAUCUUUCCUUCAUCAAGGGGGAUGACGUCAACGCCUGCGCCCAGCUCGUGGUGCUCAGCUACCCUGACCUGGAGGUGCUGUAUGAGGACAGUCAGAUGGUGACCCUGACUGCCCCCUACAUUGCGGGCUUCCUGGCCUUCAGAGAGACCCCCUGCCUCCUGGAUGCCCUGCAGCGGCUGGAGAAGAGCCAGCCCGCACUUCUGCCUCAGGUGGUGUUGGUAGAUGGGAAUGGCCUCUUCCACUACAGAGAGUUUGGCCUGGCAUGUCAUCUCGGUGUCCUGUCAGGGCUGCCUUGUGUGGGUGUGGCCAAGAAUCUGCUGCAGGUGCAAGGUGUGGCCAAGGACAACGAGCACCAAUCACAGAUAGCUGCUCUCCAGAAAGGAGGAGACAGCUUCCCACUCACAGCUGCCUCAGGCAAAGUACUCGGCAAGGCCUUGCGUAGCUCAGACAGCAGCUCUAAGCCGGUGUAUGUAUCUGUCGGUCACAAGAUCAGUCUGGACACAGCUGUGCGCCUCACACACUCCUGCUGCCGCUACCGGGUCCCCGAGCCCAUCAGACAGGCUGACAUUCGCUCCAGAGAAUACCUUCGCAUUCACUUCCCAACUGCAGACACAUGAAUGAAGAAACAGGCAGAUCAAAAGUCAGGGUCAGCUACAGAUCCACAUCCCUGGAACUAGAACACCCUGGUGGUUGAAGAGCAUCAGGAACAUCCAAAGCACCGAGUGGAUCUUUGGACAGAUACUCUGCAUCUGCCCUGAUGCUUAACUGAAGCUAAAGCCACUUUUCUGAGCGAAAUAUGCAAACCCGAGAUGCCAAGGUAGGACGUUGGGCAAGGAUUAAUCUGGUCCAGGAGCAUCAAGGAAGAGCAAUAAUUAACCAUGAAAGAAGAGGCCUUAAAUAUCUUUGUGUGUGCGAGAGAGAGAGAGAGAAAUUGAGAAUGAGGGUGAGAUCAUGUGCGGCCACUUUGAUGUGGUUGGUGGGUUUGGGCUCAGUUGUGGACACACUGAGAUUAACUCUAUCUUUUUAUACAGAUAUGGGUCAGGCUGGCUCUUUUUAUAUAAUGAUCUCAUUACAUUUUGUGGGUCACUUGGCUUUUUACAUGGGGACGCUUGUAAAUAAAUCAUAAACGUUCCUGAUCUGC
Myripristis murdjan (pinecone soldierfish) is the source of this 1475-nucleotide RNA transcript. It is a transcript of the gene named endonuclease V, with no coding region annotated. NCBI's taxonomy places the organism in Eukaryota, Metazoa, Chordata, Actinopteri, Holocentriformes, Holocentridae. The record is from RefSeq and is a predicted model, not a curated record. The transcript has 12 exons.